UCAUGAAACUCUUUAUGUUCUUUCUGCCCCUGGGAAAAUUUGACAACACUGAAUCAUUCUAUUUUAUUCUUAAAUAGGAAACAAAAAUCUAGUGAAUACUACAGACUUGACUGACUCAGGAGCUCAAAGAUGUUUUCCAGGGCCCAUGUUCAGGAAGAACUGUCUGUAGACUGGCUGUAACCAUCCGCCAUCUGUAGGCUAGACAGGGUUUCACCAUGAUGGCCAGGCUGGUCUCGAACUCCUGGCCUCAAGUGAGUGACCCACCCGCCUUGGCCUCCCAAAGUGCUGGGGUUACAAGCAUGAGCCACCAUGCCUGGCUGGAUUUUACAUCUUUGAAGCAUUGAUGUUUAUAUGUUCUGGCUAGUAGUUAAUCUCUCGAGUUAAUUUUUGCAUAUGCUAUAAGGAAGGUGUCCACUUUUAUUCCUCUGCAUAUGGAUAGCCAGUUAUACGAGCACCAUUUAUCGAAUAGGGAAUCGUUUCCCCAUUGCUUACUUAUUUUAAAAAUUACUUAGUAAAUGAAAAAGCCUUCAUGUCUUAAAUGAAGGACUCUUUUUCUUUUAAAUCACAUUGAACAUUAACAGCUCAUUUUGGACCUUAACCAGUUGUUGAAUUUUAAUCCCAAAUUUUGUAAAUCAUACACACAAACUUGCAUAUAUGUCUGAUUGGUGGCCAUAUUUUCUUAUAUCCUCAAACAUUUUCUGC
RNAcentral lists this long non-coding RNA (702 nucleotides) under Homo sapiens (human). RNAcentral's name for it is "non-protein coding lnc-PROSER1-2:1". The record is from RNAcentral. Lineage: Eukaryota; Metazoa; Chordata; Mammalia; Primates; Hominidae.